GGGCCAGUGGCGCAAUGGAUAACGUGUCUGACAGAAGAUUUUAGGUUCAACGCCUGGCUGGCUCG
Non-coding RNA from Megalops atlanticus (tarpon), 65 nucleotides. The record is from the annotation of a GenBank genome assembly. NCBI's taxonomy places the organism in Eukaryota, Metazoa, Chordata, Actinopteri, Elopiformes, Megalopidae.